AGAGGUGGCAAGCGUUGUUCGGAUUUACUGGGCGUAAAGGGUGCGUAGGUGGUUAGGUAAGACCUGCGGGAAAGACCUGGGCUUAACCCAGGAAGGUCGUAGGUGACUGCCUGGCUAGAGGGCGGGAGAGGAGAGCGGAAUUCCCGGUGUAGCGGUGAAAUGCGUAGAGAUCGGGAGGAAGGCCGGUGGCGAAGGCGGCUCUCUGGAACGUUCCUGACACUGAGGCACGAAAGCGUGGGGAGCAAACAGGAUUAGAUACCCUGGUAGUCCACGCCCUAAACGAUGGGUACUAAGUGUCGGCGGGUUACCGCCGGUGCCGCACCUAACGGAGUAAGUACCCCGCCUGGGGAGUACGGCCGCAAGGUUG
Molecule: ribosomal RNA, 367 nt
Filed under: uncultured bacterium
Lineage: Bacteria
Description: bacterial SSU rRNA
Rfam family: Bacterial small subunit ribosomal RNA
Source: RNAcentral